This is an unclassified non-coding RNA of Chrysemys picta bellii (western painted turtle), 172 nucleotides long. The record is from Ensembl. Lineage: Eukaryota; Metazoa; Chordata; Testudines; Emydidae.
CUGACAUUCUUUAGCGCCUGAAGUCCACCCAACAGGGACAGCAUGGGCAGUGGUUGGUGCAGGCUUCUUCACACACUGCUCUGUCAGCAUGUCCCAUCCCUGACUUCCGGUGACCACCUCCAUGAGUGAAAGGGGUGUUAAGUCUCCAUGACCCAUUUACUCCACAGCUUCU